RNAcentral lists this long non-coding RNA (1057 nucleotides) under Homo sapiens (human). RNAcentral's name for it is "HSALNT0360815". Lineage: Eukaryota; Metazoa; Chordata; Mammalia; Primates; Hominidae. The record is from RNAcentral.
CGGGGCGGUCGGGUCCUCCCCAGCGGCACCUGCACCAGUGCACCUGCACCUGCUCCAGCAGCACCUGCCUCCUGACUUGGGACUCCACCUGCUUCCUUUCUCCUCGGCCGGGAGCCCCGGGGCUUUGACCCCCACAUCCUUGGGGCAGAAAGGGGCCAAAUAUUCUAAAACAAGGGAAACGUGGAUGUGUGCUUUUGUGUGGGUUCUGGAAGUGUCUGGGGAGGACGUGGUCCAGGCCUCUGCCCUGGGUUGAUCUCUGCAGCCCCUGAGCUGGGACCCAGGAUGCAGAGAGGAGGGCUGGAGCUGGGCGGUGCUCUGUGACCAGUCUGACCGGAGUUGGGGGUGGACCCAUUACAGGAGGUGGCGGGAGGGACAACCUGGGCUCUGGGGCCGCCUGGUGGUCGGGGGAAGUGGGGCGGGGUGCCUGGGAUCUGGGCUCUGGCUGGGAGGAUCCACAACUCAUUCUUUGGACAUUUUCUUUGCAGACUACGAAGCUGCACCGUGUGGGGCCCACUUUUUAUACAAGCGGGUGGCGGUGGAUCCAGGCGCAGACGGGAGUGAGGCGUGGCGGAGACGCGUGCACGCUGGGUCUGUGCACUUUUGCUGCUGCUGCUUUUUUUUUUUUUUUUUUUUUUUGAGAUGGAGUCUCGUUCUGUCACCCAGGCUGGAGUGCAGUGGCGCGAUCUCGGCUCACUACAACCUCUGUCUCCCGGGUUUAAGCGACUUUCCUGUCUCAGCCUCCCAAGUAGCUGAAACGACAGGCGCCUGCCACCAUACCCGGCUAAUUUUUUUAUUUUUAGUAGAGAUAGGGUUUCACCUUGUUAGGCUGGUCUUGAACUCCUGACCUCAUGAUCCACCUCACUCGGCCUCCCAAAGUGCUGGGAUUACAGGCGUGAGCCACAGCGCCCGGCUGGCUGUUGCUUCUUAACACCUUUAUUACUUUUGUAAUCAUGGGUAUGAGUUGAUUUUCUGGUCAGAAAUUUCAGUAGAGCUAAUUUCAUUUAAAUGUGUGAGAUGUGGUAAAGUUUUGACAAUAAAUACAAAUUUUGACAAAGCA